Molecule: non-coding RNA, 344 nt
Filed under: Pan troglodytes (chimpanzee)
Lineage: Eukaryota; Metazoa; Chordata; Mammalia; Primates; Hominidae
Also listed under: 1 other name
Source: RNAcentral
UGAACACUUGUCCUGCUCCUUCACCUUUUUCUUGCAUGGAGACAGCAAUGUUUGUACCAGUGUGGAAAUUAACCAACAUCAACCUGUAUACCUUCUCAGUGAAGAGCAUAUCACCCUUGCUCAACAGUCUAAUAGCCCAUUUCAAGUUAUCUUAUGCCCAUUUGGACUAAAUGGCACUCUCACAGGACAGGCAUUCAAGAUGUCUGAUUCAGCUACAAAAAAAUUAAUUGGUGAAUGGAAACAGUUCUAUCCUAUCUCAUGUUGCUUGAAGGAGAUGUCUGAAGAAAAACAGGAAGAUAUGGAUUGGGAAGAUGAUUCUUUAGCUGCAGUAGAAGUUCUUGUUG